GCCGGGGUGGAGCAGUCUGGUAGCUCAUCGGGCUCAACUCUUCAUAAACCCGGCGAAGGUCGUUGGUUCAAAUCCAGCCCCCGCUACCA
RNAcentral lists this transfer RNA (89 nucleotides) under Oceanospirillaceae bacterium. Its description in RNAcentral is "tRNA-OTHER". It matches the Rfam family "tRNA". From Rfam's summary of the family: Transfer RNA (tRNA) molecules are approximately 80 nucleotides in length. Their secondary structure includes four short double-helical elements and three loops (D, anti-codon, and T loops). Lineage: Bacteria; Pseudomonadati; Pseudomonadota; Gammaproteobacteria; Oceanospirillales; Oceanospirillaceae. The record is from RNAcentral.